Molecule: non-coding RNA, 79 nt
Organism: Cordylochernes scorpioides
Lineage: Eukaryota; Metazoa; Arthropoda; Arachnida; Pseudoscorpiones; Chernetidae
Source: the annotation of a GenBank genome assembly
UGUCCAGGAGCGGGAAUCGAACCCACAACCUUCUGCUUACCGGGCAGGUGCCAUGCCCACAGUGGACAUGGCACCUGCC